RNAcentral lists this long non-coding RNA (457 nucleotides) under Homo sapiens (human). RNAcentral's name for it is "LHRI_LNC1882.4". Lineage: Eukaryota; Metazoa; Chordata; Mammalia; Primates; Hominidae. The record is from RNAcentral.
CACCAUUGCACACCAGCCUGGCCAACAGAGUGAGAACUUGUCUCAAAAAAAGAAAAGAAAAUGUAUCCAGGAGGCUAAAUAAUGGCUCCCAAAGAUGUGUCUACAUCCUAAUCUCCAGAAUCUGUGAAUGUUACUUUAUGUGGCAAGUACGUGGCAGAUGUAAUUAAGUCAAGGAUCUUUGGAUGGUUAUCCUGAAUUAUCUGGGUGGGCCCUAAAUACAAUCACAAGUGUCCUUAUAGGAGAGAGGCUGAAGGAGAUUUGGUACCAACAGAAGAGGAGGAGGAAAUUGUGAUCAUGCAGAAACUGGAGUGAUGGAGUCACAAGCCAAGGAAUGCCAGCAGCCACCAGAAGCCGAAAGAGGCCCUGCCAACACCUUGAUUUAGGCCUAAUGAAACUGAGUUUAGAUUUCUGGACCCCAGAACUGUGAAAGAAUAAAUUUCUGUUGUGUUAAGCCCCU